GAUGAAGAACGCAGCGAAAUGCGAUACUUGGUGUGAAUUGCAGAAUCCCGUGAACCAUCGAGUCUUUGAACGCAAGUUGCGCCUCAAGCCAUUAGGUUGAGGGCACGUCUGCCUGGGCGUCACAUAUCGUUGCCUGAUGCCAGUUUCCUCGUGAUGGGUGACUGUGCAGGGCGAAUGAUGGCUUCCCGUGAGCAUUGUUGCCUCAUGGUUGGUUGAAAAUUGAGUCCUUGGUAAGGAGCGCCGUGAUAGAUGGUGGUUGAGUGACGAACGAGACCCAAUCAUGUGAGACCCCUACCGAAUUUGGCCUUCAUGACCCACAUGCGUCUUUGGAACGCUCAUGACGAGACCUCAGGUCAGGCGGGGCUACCCGCUGAGUUUAAGCAUAUCAAUAAGCGGAGGA
Molecule: unclassified non-coding RNA, 400 nt
Filed under: soil metagenome
Description: partial contains 5.8S ribosomal RNA, internal transcribed spacer 2, and large subunit ribosomal RNA
Rfam family: 5.8S ribosomal RNA (bases 1-122)
Source: RNAcentral